UAUGGUGCUUACCUAUUGUAUUCUUGUUUUAAUGGUCUUCCCAUCCUAUUAUGUUGACAUAUAGGGCAUUUGGUAACCUUCUUUAUUGGAGGAGGCGAGGUUCUGACAGAAGCCUAAGCUGGACCUCUUGUUAUGAAGGCUGUUGUUUAUUCUCUUCCUAGUUUGCUCCUUGUUUCAUGCAAUGGGUAGUUCUGGACUCAAUAAUUGUCAGUUUUUUCUUGUUUGUUACCUAACCAGUUAUCGUCUAACACGGCACAUUUGAGUCCUCUUCUAUUGUGGACUUACCCAUCAUUUCUGUUGCUACUUUCAAGAAUAGUGCCAUCUUGUACUACUAUCAAAUAGGGAAGCAUGUAAAUUGUGUCUUAUGUUAAUAGUUUUGUCUUUUCUUUAUGAUAAUCUUACUGUGAGAGAACUUUGGUCUACGUUGUAACAUCAACCGGUGUUUGCAGUUCCUUAAUUGAUUGCAUUUUCUUCUCUCUUUUUAUUUUCUUUUUUAAGAUUUUCUAAUAUGUUUGUGGUUGUCUACACUGCAUUGUUUCUAGGUAAAGAUAAUAUUACUGUGAGAGAUCUUGGGUCUACGUUGUAACAUCAACAGGUGUUUUCAGCUCCUUAAUUGAUUGCCUUAUCUUCUCUUAUGUUUUUUUAAUAAAAUUUGUUUAAAUAGUCAUCAGUGUUAUCUUCUGUGUAAUAGUUUAUCUUAUUUUGCAGGAUAUAUUUUUGACUCUUAUCAUUUUGAUUUAACCAGAAAUGUCAAGCCCAACAAUUAACUUUUUAUUUUGUUUUGAAGGUUAUCCACAUCCAUAACAUUAUCUUUUGGUGGCAGUGUUUCAGUCCAGUAGUUUCCCAAUUUGACAUGUUAAAUUUGGCAUUCGUUUUUUUCUUCAUUAAGCCCUUUAUUUUUGUGCGCCUUAUCUCUUACUUUCUCUCUCAUUUUUUCCCCAGAUUAGAAGUAGAGUUGCACGUGUUUUGGGGCUAGUUAUCAACAUGGUGCAUUGAGCCCUUGGUGGUUACCUAUUCCAACCUUGUUGAUUUAUCCACAUCAAUAUAUUUAUGCUUUGAUGGAGGUCUUUCAAUCCAGUGGUUACCCAAUUUGACGGUUUUCUUUGUCAUUCGUUUCUUAUUCCUCAUCAACUUUUUUCUGCUCGUCAUAUUCUCUCUCAUUUUUUUCAGAGAUUAGAAGUAAAGUUGCACAUUUGUUUGGGGGGAGUUAUCAACAUGGUGCAUUGAGCCUUUGGUGGUUUACCCUUUUCUAACCUUGCUCAUUUCGGAUCAUGCAUUCAUACUCUUCUUUUUAAUUUCCGCAUUCACUUUUAUUUCGAACUAGAAAAUAUCAAGCCCAACAAUUAACUUUUAAUUUUUGUUUUGAAGGAAUUUUGUUUGAAUGUUAUUUGCAUCAAUAACAUUAUCCUUUGGCCCCUGUGUUUCAGUCUAGUGGUUACCCAAUUUGAUGUGUUUUAUUUGUCAUUCUUUUUUUGCUCUUCAUUUAGCUCUUUGUUUUUGUGCAUCUUAUCCCUCUCUUUCUCUCGCAUUUUUUUUCUUCCAGAGAUUUUAGAAGUAGAGCUGCAUGUGUUUUGGGGGAUGUUAUCAACAUGGUGCAUUGAGCCCUUGGCGGUUUACCUUUCAAACCUUGUUUAUUAAUCCACAUCAAUGCCAUUAUGCUUUGGUGGGGGUGUUUCAAUCCUUUGGUUACCCAAUUUGACGUGUUUGUUUUUUAAUUCGUUUCUUAUUCCUCUUUAAGCCCUUUUUCUGCGUCUUUUUAUCUUUCUUUUUUCCCAGAGAUUAGAAGUAAAUCUGCACAUUUGUUUAGGGGGAGUUAUCAACGUGGUGCAUUGAUCCCUUGGUGGUUUACCUUUUCUAACCUUGGUCAUUUCUUUUUUAGAGAUUGAGGUGCCUAAAUUUAUGAAUUAUUAUUUAAAUACCCUUCCCUAUUUUAUGUUUACAACUUGUCUUGGCAUUCACUAUCGAGUUCUUGCUAGUUACCUGUUCUCUGGGUAAUUUUAGUUAUUGACUUGAAUUUUCUGUACCUUUUUAUUUUUUCCUUGAUUAGUUGACAAAAAAAAGUAGUCCUUCAUUUUUUUGUUUUUGUUUUUCCUUGAGUCUUCUUUUGUCUUCCUUAUCCUGUUGUUUUUCUCUUCCGAGUGUCCCCAGGCUCCGAGGCAAACUAUUAACUUGGUGCAGAGGGGCCCUAGUGCAGUAAUAUUUCUAGCUUAAUUGAUUUUUUUAUCUGAAUUUUGAAGGUGCUUUUGUAUUAUUGUUUUAAUACUCUUCCUUUCCAUAAUGUUGACAUAGGGAAUUUGGUAGCCUUCUCCGAGUAGGUGGGGCUCUGACUUAUUUUAUCAUUUUUUGUCCAUGAGCUAUUUUAAGUUGAAUUCAUCAGUUAUUUACCAACUUGUUUUGUGAUCCUGAUCUUUGCAUUAUCCACUGACAAUCAGAAGCCUAAGCUUGACCUCUUAUUAUGAUAGGCUGUGAUGUAUUAUCUUUCGUGGUUUGCUCCUGGUUUCGUGCAAUGGGUAGUUCUGAACUCGACUUGUCAGAUUUUUCUUGCUUUUAAUUGUUUUACGCCUAACAUGGAAAAUUUCAAUUCUUUUCUAUUUUGCAACUUCCCUGCUGCCACUGUUGGCAUUUUGCUGCUAUCAAGGAUACUGCCAUCCGGUAAUUCCAAACUGGGAAGCCUGUAAAUUGUGUUUCAUAUGUUAAUAAUUUGGUCUUUUCUUAUUGAUAAUAUUACUGUGAGAGAACUUCGGCCUACAUAAUUACGUCAACCGGUGUUUGCAGUUCCUUAAUUGAUUGCAUUUUGUUCUCUCUUUUGUUUUUUUUAAAUGUUUUUAAUCUGUGUGGUUGUCUACUGUGCAUUGUUCCUAGGUUGACUUGGAAAAAACUAGAGUAUUUAGUCGUUGAGGUUCGAAAAAUUAAUUGUAUUAUGUGGUUUUGUAAAUUGUAAUAAAUUUUGAUCUAAUGUACAUCACUUGUAUCUUAUGUAUAAUAAUUUAUCUCAUUUUGAAGGAUAUAUUUUUGACUCUUGAACAUUUUGACUAAGCCUUGUCAGUGGUUUUGGAGCAGGCAUUCUUACUCUUUUCUAUAUCAGCAUUCACAUUUAUUUCUAAACAAAAAAUAUCAAGCCCAACAAUUAACUUUCUACUUUUGUUUUGAAGGAAUUUCGGUUGAAGGUUAUCUACAUCAAUAACAUUAUCCUUUGGUCCCCGUGUUGCAGUCCAGUGGUUACCCAAUUUAUAGUGUUUUAUUUGUCAUUCUUUUUGUUUUUCAUUUAGCCCUUUGUUUUUGUGCAUCUUAUCCCUCUCUUUCUCUCGCAUUUUUUUCUUCCAGAGAUUAGAAGUAGUGUUGCAUGUGUUUUUGGGGAAGUUAUCAACAUGGUGCAUUGAACCCUUGGUGGUUUACCUUUCAAACCUUUGUUCAUUUCUUUUCUACACAUUGAGUGUCUAAUUUUAUUGAUUAUUCUUUAAAUACUCUUCCCUGAUUUACUACAUGGUCAACUUGAGAUGGCAUUUGCUAUCUAGUUUUGGCUAGUUUCAUGUUCUAUGUGUAUCUUUAGUUAUUGAAUUGAAUUUUCAGUACCUUUUCUUUUGAGAAGUUAACAAUAAAAAGUAAUCCUUCGUACGUUGUUUUUGUUCUUCCUUUAGUCUCAUUCUACUCCCUUAUCCCCUAGUUUUUAUGUUCAGUGUUCCAAGGGAUAGUGGGUCUUUAGCGAAAUAAAUUUGUCUGGCAUAGUUAAAUUCUUUUCUGAAAUUUUAUGGUGCUUACCUAUUGUAUUCUUGUUUUAAUGGUCUUCCCAUCCGAUUAUGUUGACAUAUAGGGCAUUUGGUAACCUUCUUUAUUGGAGGAGGCGAGGUUCUGACUUAUUUUAUUUUUUUUGUCCAAAAUUAUCUGGAAUUGUAUUCAUUGGUUAUCUAACAGCUUGUUUUGUGACCCUUGUCUUUCUGUUGUCCACUGACAUUCAGAAGCCUAAGCUGGACCUCUUAUUAUGAAGGCUGUUGUGUAUUCUCUUCCUUGUUUGCUCCUGGUUUCAUGCAAUGGGUAGUUCUGGACUCAAUAAUUUUCAGUUUUUUCUUAUUUGUUACCUAACCAGUUAUCGUCUAACAUUUCACAUUUGAAUCAUCUUCUAUUGUGGACUUCCCCACCACUGUUGUUGCUACUAUCAAGGUAGUGUUAUCUUGUACUACCAAAUAGGAAGCAUGUAAAUUGUGUCUUAUGUUAAUAGUUUUGUCUUUUCUUUAUGAUAAUCUUACUGUGAGAGAACUUUGGUCUACGUUGUAACAUCAACCGGUGUUUGCAGUUCCUUAAUUGAUUGCAUUUUCUUCUCUCUUUUUAUUUCUUUUUUAAAAUUUUCUAAUAUGUUUGUGGUUGUCUACACUGCAUUGUUUCUAGGUAAAGAUAAUAUUACUGUGAGAGAUCUUGGGUCUACGUUGUAACAUCAACGGGUGCUUGCAGCUCCUUAAUUGAUUGCGUUUUCUUCUCUUAUGUUUUUUUAUUAAAAUUUGUUCAAAUAGUCAACAAUUAACUUUUUAUUUUGUUUUGAAGGUUAUCCACAUCCAUAAUUUGGCAUUCGUUUUUUUCUUCAUUAAGCCCUUUAUUUUUGUGCGCCUUAUCUCUUACUUUCUCUCUCAUUUUUCCCCCAGAUUAGAAGUAGAGUUGCACGUGUUUUGGGGCUAGUUAUCAACAUUGUUCAUUGAGCCCUUGGUGGUUACCUUUUCCAACCUUGUUGAUUUAUCCACAUCAAUAUAUUUAUGCUUUGAUGGAGGUUUUUCAAUCCAGUGGUUACCCAAUUUGACGUGUUUUCUUUGUCAUUCGUUUCUUAUUCCUCACCAACUUUUUUCUGCUCGUCAUAUUCUCUCUCAUUUUUUUCAGAGAUUAGAAGUAAAGCUGCACAUUUGUUUGGGGGGAGGUAUCAACAUGGUGCAUUGAGCCUUUGGUGGUUUACCCUUUUCUAAC
RNAcentral lists this long non-coding RNA (4947 nucleotides) under Panax ginseng (ginseng). Its description in RNAcentral is "long non-coding RNA (PGIN_LNC003812)". The record is from RNAcentral. Lineage: Eukaryota; Viridiplantae; Streptophyta; Magnoliopsida; Apiales; Araliaceae.